AUUGAACGCUGGCGGCGUGCCUAACACAUGCAAGUCGAGCGGUAACAGGUGUAGCAAUACAUGCUGACGAGCGGCGAACGGGUGAGUAAUGCUUUGGAAUCUUCCCAGUAGUGGGGAAUAACCAGUCGAAAGAUUGGCUAAUACCGCAUACGUCUGUAAAGGGAAAGCGGGGGACUCGCCUCUUCUUCGGAAGAGAGGCCUCGCGCUAUUGGAUGAGCCAAAGUCGGAUUAGCUAGUUGGUGGGGUAAUGGCCUACCAAGGCGACAAUCCGUAGCUGGUCUGAGAGGACGACCAGCCACACCGG
This 304-nucleotide ribosomal RNA is filed under the name uncultured bacterium. RNAcentral describes it as "bacterial SSU rRNA". It matches the Rfam family "Bacterial small subunit ribosomal RNA", at positions 30 to 316 of the family's 1533-position model. The record is from RNAcentral.